UACGUAGGUCCCGAGCGUUGUCCGGAUUUAUUGGGCGUAAAGCGAGCGCAGGUGGUUUAUUAAGUCUGGUGUAAAAGGCAGUGGCUCAACCAUUGUAUGCAUUGGAAACUGGUAGACUUGAGUGCAGGAGAGGAGAGUGGAAUUCCAUGUGUAGCGGUGAAAUGCGUAGAUAUAUGGAGGAACACCGGUGGCGAAAGCGGCUCUCUGGACUGUAACUGACACUGAGGCUCGAAAGCUAGGGGAGCAAACGGG
This 252-nucleotide ribosomal RNA is filed under the name uncultured microorganism. Its description in RNAcentral is "partial 16S ribosomal RNA". It matches the Rfam family "Bacterial small subunit ribosomal RNA", at positions 524 to 776 of the family's 1533-position model. The record is from RNAcentral.